UACGCGCUAAUUUUGGUGGGCAAAUUAGUAGGAAAAAACUCACACUAUCAAAUAAUUCGUAUGUGAUGUAGGGGCCACUUUUUUUACGUAAUUUUGUUCGUAAUUUCCUCUCUAGGUAUAAUUACUCUAAGCAUUGGCAUACAUUCU
Long non-coding RNA from Bradysia coprophila, 147 nucleotides. The record is from RefSeq and is a predicted model, not a curated record. NCBI's taxonomy places the organism in Eukaryota, Metazoa, Arthropoda, Insecta, Diptera, Sciaridae.